This 430-nucleotide ribosomal RNA is filed under the name Minyobates steyermarki (demonic poison frog). Its description in RNAcentral is "partial 16S ribosomal RNA". It matches the Rfam family "Bacterial large subunit ribosomal RNA", at positions 1909 to 2553 of the family's 2925-position model. Lineage: Eukaryota; Metazoa; Chordata; Amphibia; Anura; Dendrobatidae. The record is from RNAcentral.
AAAACGGAACCAGAUUCAACGGCCGCGGUAUCCUAACCGNGUCAAGGUAGCGUAAUCACUUGUCUUUAAUUGAGGAAUGAAUGGCUUCACGAAGACUGACUGCUCCUUUUUCUAAUCAAUGAAACUAAUCUCCCGUGAAGAACGGGUGGUCUAUAAGACGAGAAGACCCUAUGGAGCUUUAAACAACUGAAAUACCUGCUUUCGAAAGCUAAACCAAGCAUGCUAAUUCUAGUUUUAGGUUGGGGUGACCACGGAGUAAAAAUCAACCUCCACGCCGAACACAACUUUAUUCAUCAACAUAUUGACCUUCAUUGACCCAAUUAUUUGAUCAACGAACCAAGUUACCCUAGGAUAACAGCGCAAUCUACUUCAGAGCUCCUAUCGACAAGUAGGUCCCCCCCCUCGAUGUUGGAUCAGGGUAUCCCCUAUG